GUAUAUAUUGCGUGGCAUCUCAAUUUAGAGCGAUCAGUUAAAAUGUUGAAAUAUAUUUACGCAACUUUGAUAUUUUCUGCGAUUUUUCUCGUAGUGGCAAAUGCACAAGCUUUGGUUUGUUCACCGCUAGAUAUGCAGGUGAAAGUUUUUGAAACUGUCUGCGAGCCCAAUUGUGCACCGAGAGUACCGGCAAGAACGUGCUUUAGCCUGUCAAGACCAGCGACGAUCGCUAUGUGUCCGCCACUCUGUUGUCGGGAUAGUAAUGGCGAAUGUGUGGCAACUGUGAGAAUUGGUUAAUUGGGAGCAGUGCUGGAAUUUAUAUUGAGUUGAAUGUGAUGUCAAGAAGAAGAAGAGAGAAUAAAUGUUUUUCUUAACAUAAUGUACUUUUGCAUAAAGUUUUGAGUUCAGUGAGGGUGUCAGGGAAUGAGAAUAGAACGCUAAAGUGUAAGCGAAUUUCCUGAUGCUAAAGUAAUUAUUGUGUUGAAUAAUUUCUUUAGUAACGGCCAAAAACGAUUGGAAAAUCUAAGAGACUACAUAUGUGGGUCCUCUUCUAUCAUCUCACCAUAAACUUACAUAUUUUAAUCGUUAUGUUAUUCUGGUGCCCAUAAGUUGCCAAGGAUCGGUUGAAGAGACUUUUAAAUAUUAAAGGGGAACAAUAACUAAACUUCUAAAGAAUAAGUGAGGUUAUUAAAAGAAAUGCUAAAUCUAAAUGGUUCUAAGUGAUAACUUUAAUAACUGGGGAGCAUCAUUCGAGAAGAAUUUUGUAUAAAACAGUAACCGAUCAAAUUUUACCCAGACUGAUCAUUUUACACUACGCGCACAAACGGAAUCGAUAAUUUGUUUUUCUUAUAUUGGUACUAACUUUUUUAUGGUCGUUUCAUAUUCUUAUGUCAAUUACAAUGUGUUUGGCUCAAAAAAUUUGUGUGUAUAUUUUUCCACGAAAAAACUGAACAACGAGUUUGCUUGAAAUUUUGUGUCCAAUGGAAUCACUAUUGUACGAAAUUUCAUAGAAGGACCAGUAUCUUUUAUAAAAACGUCAUCUUUAGAGAUAACAAAUUAGGUGCUUGACAACGUAGCUGAGAAUCCCACAUUCAACAAAUGCCUCAUUACUGUUCACGAGGUAUGGGUUUAUGAUUAAAAAAGUCUAAGCUGUUCAACAACGUUCCAAAAACGAGCGAAAAGCAAAAAUUACAAAAAUAUGUCAAGUGCCAAAAGCCCACCUCAGCCGAGGCUUACAAAAAGUGUACGCAAAUUGGAUUAAUCUUUGGCAUGCUUCUAUUAUAUUAGAUCAGAAGCCAAUUUUGAAGGUGAAUGAUAAAUAUAUGGAUUAAUCACAAUAAUAAAUGAAUGGUGAAGGAACAAUCACAUCAGCCAAUUUAUAAAUAAAUGGUACCAAAAGCUAAAACAAGCAGAAGAAAAUUCAGGCAAGCUCUCAGCCACAGCUGUUUUGGAUGCGAAAAUGCCUUUCAGGUUGAUUACUACGGGCAGAGUUAUACAAAAGCUGAAUAAUUUCAUACGGUAGAAAAGACUUUGACUUUUAUUCUUUUUAUUGACAAAUUACUUCCGCUUCAUUUCACGUAUAAAAAGCGAGUAAGCCAAUCUACAAUAUUUCAGUACAAAAUAUUGCGGCUUGACCACCACACUUGAAAAUAAUGAAACUUUUCUGCGAAACUAUCAUUUUGUUAGUUUUAAGUCUGGCUUUAAUUCAAGCACAAAGAACUCCAAAUUGUCAACUUCAACGAACAUUUUUUUUAAAGAAGGGUCAUCGCGUCUGUAUACCCUAUUGCCCACCAAAAGGAACCACUUGUAUAACGGCUGAUCGUCCCAUGCAAAUACAAUCUUGCACCGCUGGAUGUUGCCGCUCGGGCAAUAGAUGCAUUCCCGUCAGGAGGGGUUAGUGAUCGGGAUUAACGAAAAUGCAGAAGUGCAUAUACAGAUGUAUACGUAAAAGUGUAAAAUGUCUUUAAAGGAUGCAAUAAAUAUUUCCUUAAAUAAAUAAAUAAAUUGCUGAAUAU
Molecule: long non-coding RNA, 2015 nt
Filed under: Bactrocera latifrons
Lineage: Eukaryota; Metazoa; Arthropoda; Insecta; Diptera; Tephritidae
Description: uncharacterized LOC108965179, transcript variant X2
Source: RNAcentral